Molecule: long non-coding RNA, 370 nt
Organism: Beta vulgaris subsp. vulgaris (sugar beet)
Lineage: Eukaryota; Viridiplantae; Streptophyta; Magnoliopsida; Caryophyllales; Amaranthaceae
Exons: 2
Source: RefSeq, a predicted model, not a curated record
UGAUGUUGACAUUGCAGGAAAUGGAGUUAGCUGUGGCUGCGAAUAAACUAGCAGAAUGUCAGAAGACAAUUGCAUCACUCGGAAACCAACUGAAAUCCCUUGCAACCCUCGAAGAUAUCUUCUUAGAGUCAGAGAAGUUGUUGGAGGUUCCUAAAAAGAGUCAGAGAUUCUACAUAAUGAUAUAAAACCUGAUACAUCAGUAUCUUCAGAAACUGCUCAGGAUGCAUCAACAUUGAGCAAGGAGGAUGCAGCAGCUGAUUCAGCUACUUCCUAUUGUUUAUGGUUGUAACAGAUGUACUGAAUUGGGAGUUUAAUUUUCAGUUGAAUGACUAGUAUGAUCAGUGAGAGUCUGAAGGUCAUUAUUUAACAA